RNAcentral lists this ribosomal RNA (468 nucleotides) under uncultured bacterium. Its description in RNAcentral is "partial 16S ribosomal RNA". It matches the Rfam family "Bacterial small subunit ribosomal RNA", at positions 28 to 507 of the family's 1533-position model. The record is from RNAcentral.
GACGAACGCUGGCGGCGUGCUUAACACAUGCAAGUCGAACGGAAAGGCCCUGCUUUUGUGGGGUGCUCGAGUGGCGAACGGGUGAGUAACACGUGAGUAACCUGCCCUUGACUUUGGGAUAACUUCAGGAAACUGGGGCUAAUACCGGAUAGGAGCUCCUGCUGCAUGGUGGGGGUUGGUAAGUUUCGGCGGUUGGGGAUGGACUCGCGGCUUAUCAGCUUGUUGGUGGGGUAGUGGCUUACCAAGGCUUUGACGGGUAGCCGGCCUGAGAGGGUGACCGGCCACAUGGGGACUGAGAUACGGCCCAGACUCCUACGGGAGGCAGCAGUGGGGAAUAUUGCACAAUGGGCGGAAGCCUGAUGCAGCAACGCCGCGUGCGGGAUGACGGCCUUCGGGUUGUAAACCGCUUUCGCCUGUGACGAAGCGUGAGUGACGGUAAUGGGUAAAGAAGCACCGGCUAACUACGUG